CAGAAAAUAAGAACCGCUAAAAAUGUUCCUGUUUCAAUAGUUUGUGCUCGAGGACAAAAGUCAGGAUAAAGGUGCCAGUCUGCUGACCGUAUACCGUCCGAAAACUCGUAAACAUAUGUCUGGAGGAAGUUUUUUCUGAGAUGGAUUGGCAUUGCUAUGGAAGUUUUAAUAGCAGAAGCACGCAGGUCAAAACACCGGAGAAGCUGCCUCUGCUUGGUCGAAACAGAUACGCCGAUUGGCGAUCUAGGUGCUAGCGUCGACGGCGAAACUCCCUUAAAGUUCUCUAGAAAGUUCUAAUCUGUCCGCUCGUUGGGUCGAAUUAAGUGCCUUGGACGUCCUUCAUAUGAUGAGUCGAUACCGAAGAAGCAACAUCGCUGAACUGUGCGGCAAUGGUGCCUUCUGGAGUCGGGAGAAUGCCUUGCAAAGCGAAGGCACACCAGUGUUAUAUUGCUGCGAGAUUCGGAAACGCUGCUCCAGAUCAUCAACACAGCGGUCCGAUAUGGAAACGAUGCCUGUCGGCUUAUUCAGAUUCAUUGAACCGAUCGAAUCCAUAAAUAAAAAUGGAGAAUAAAUUAGAAACAAAAUAAUGAAUCAUAAAUCUGUUUAUUUUUAUUUUUGACAAAUUUGAAUUUAAA
This is a long non-coding RNA of Armigeres subalbatus, 635 nucleotides long. RefSeq lists it as uncharacterized. The record is from RefSeq and is a predicted model, not a curated record. The transcript has 3 exons. NCBI's taxonomy places the organism in Eukaryota, Metazoa, Arthropoda, Insecta, Diptera, Culicidae.